Molecule: ribosomal RNA, 2902 nt
Filed under: Faecalicoccus acidiformans
Lineage: Bacteria; Bacillati; Bacillota; Erysipelotrichia; Erysipelotrichales; Erysipelotrichaceae
Description: 23S ribosomal RNA
Rfam family: Bacterial large subunit ribosomal RNA
Source: RNAcentral
UGAUUAAGUAAGGAAGGGCGUACGGAGGAUGCCUUGCCACUCCCGAAUGAAGAAGGACGCGCCAAACUGCGAAAAGCGUCGGCGAGCUGUAAGGAAGCGAAGACCCGGCGGUGUCCGAAUGGGGGAACCCGGCAGCUGUCAUAGGCUGUCAUCCAUGGAUGAAUACAUAGUGCAUGGAGAGGAACCUGGGGAACUGAAACAUCUAAGUACCCGGAGGAAAAGAAAACAAAAGUGAUUUCCCGAGUAGCGGCGAGCGAAAGGGAAGAAGCCCAAACCGAUCUUAGGGUCGGGGUUGUAGGACCGCGAGAAGACAAGAACGAGGAUAGGAGAACACGAUUGAAAGCGUGACCGAAGAGGGUGCAAGUCCCGUAACCGAAAUCCGAGGGAAGUCGAGCGGGAUCCUGAGUACGGCGAGACACGAGGAAUCUUGUCGGAAGCAGGCAGGACCAUCUGCCAAGGCUAAAUAUCAGGGAGUGAGCGAUAGUGGACCAGUACCGUGAGGGAAAGGUGAAAAGAACCGCGGGAGCGGAGUGAAAUAGAACCUGAAACCGUAUGCCUACAAGAAGUCAGAGCCCGUCAAAGGGUGAUGGCGUGCCUUUUGUAGAAUGAACCGGCGAGUUGUGAUGGAGUGCGAGGUUAAGCGGGAAAACGCGGAGCCGAAGCGAAAGCGAGUCUUAAUAGGGCGAGAGUAAGCCAUUGCAGACCCGAAACCGGGUGAUCUAGCCAUGAGCAGGUUGAAGUUGAGGUGAAACUCAAUGGAGGACCGAACCGACCACCGUUGAAAAGUUGGCGGAUGACUUGUGGCUAGGGGAGAAAUUCCAAUCGAACCCGGAGAUAGCUGGUUCUCCCCGAAAUAGCUUUAGGGCUAGCGUCGUGGAAAGGAUAUCGGAGGUAGAGCACUGAAUGUGUGAUGGCCCCAUCCCGGGGUACUGAAUACAAUCAAACUCCGAAUGCCGAUAUCCUGUAGCGGCAGUCAGACCGUGAGUGAUAAGGUCCAUGGUCGAGAGGGAAACAGCCCAGACCGCCAGCUAAGGUCCCGAAAUACAGGCUAAGUGGAAAAGGAUGUGGGGAUGCCCAGACAACUAGGAGGUUGGCUCAGAAGCAGCCAUCCUUCAAAGAGUGCGUAACAGCUCACUAGUCGAGUGACCCUGCGCCGAAAAUGUACCGGGGCUAAGCCUGAUACCGAAGCUGCGGAUUUAAACCUAGUUUAAGUGGUAGGGGAGCGUUGCAUACGGGUAGAAGCCGUACCGGGAGGGACGGUGGACUGUAUGGAAGUGAGAAUGCCGGUGUGAGUAGCGAGAUGUAGGUGAGAAUCCUACACACCGAAAGCCCAAGGAUUCCAGGGGAAGGUUCGUCCGCCCUGGGUAAGUCGGGACCUAACGCGAGGCCGAGAGGCGUAGUGGAUGGCAAGCAGGCGGAAAUUCCUGCACCCGUAUAUGGAGCGAAGGAGUGACGGAGACGGCUAGUAUGACCCUCUUAACGGAUUGAGGGCGAAGCGAGGUACCUGAUGGUUAGGCAAAUCCGGCCAUCGAAAGGGGAAGACGUGACAGGGAAGCGAACGUUUCGACAAGUAGCGAAGCAUAUGAGGCCGGCUUCCAAGAAAAGCUUCUAAGCAUAUGCAUAUGCGGCCCGUACCAAAACCGACACAGGUGGGCAGGGAGAGUAUCCCGAGGUGAGCGAGAGAACUGUUGCCAAGGAACUCGGCAAAAUGGCUCCGUACGUUCGCAAGAAGGAGCGCUCAUGAGAAGUGAGCCGCAGUGAAGAGGCCCAAGCGACUGUUUAACUAAAACACAGCUCUCUGCGAAGUCGCAAGACGAAGUAUAGGGGGUGACACCUGCCCGGUGCCGGAAGGUUAAGAGGAUCUGUUAAUCGCGAGAUGAAGCAGUGAGUUGAAGCCCCGGUGAACGGCGGCCGUAACUAUAACGGUCCUAAGGUAGCGAAAUUCCUUGUCAGGUAAGUUCUGACCCGCACGAAAGGUGUAACGAUUUGGGCGCUGUCUCGGCAGCAGGCUCGGUGAAAUCUUAGUACCUGUGAAAAUGCAGGUUACCCGCAACUAGACGGAAAGACCCCAUGGAGCUUUACUGUAGCUUGGUAUUGGACUUUGGUCAUGCAUGUACAGGAUAGGUGGGAGACGAAGAGACGUGUACGCCAGUAUACGAGGAGUCGCCGUUGGGAUACCACUCUUGUGUGAUCGGAGUUCUAACCUGGUCCCUUGAAGCAGGGAUGGGGAGAGUGCCAGGUGGGCAGUUUGACUGGGGCGGUCGCCUCCCAAAGAGUAACGGAGGCGCCCAAAGGUACGCUCAGAUUGGAUGGAAACCAAUCGGCGAGUGCAAAUGCAGAAGCGUGCUUGACUGUGAGAGCAACAACUCGAACAGGGACGAAAGUCGGGAUUAGUGAUCCGGCGGUGCCGAAUGGAAGGGCCGUCGCUCAACGGAUAAAAGCUACCCUGGGGAUAACAGGCUGAUCUCGCCCAAGAGUUCACAUCGACGGCGAGGUUUGGCACCUCGAUGUCGGCUCAUCGCAUCCUGGAGCUGGAUUCGGUUCCAAGGGUUGGGCUGUCCGCCCAUUAAAGCGGUACGCGAGCUGGGUUCAGAACGUCGUGAGACAGUUCGGUCCCUAUCUGUUGUGGGCGAAGGAGAUCUGAGGAGAGCUGUCCUUAGUACGAGAGGACCGGGAUGGACCUACCGCUGGUGCACCAGUUGUACUGCCAAGUGCAUAGCUGGGUAGCUAAGUAGGGAAAGGAUAAGCGCUGAAAGCAUCUAAGCACGAAACCUACUCCAAGAUGAGAUCUCCCAUUCGUGAGAAGUAAGACCCCUUAAAGACGAUAAGGUAGAUAGGCCGGAGAUGGAAGUGUAGCGAUACACGGAGUUGACCGGUACUAAUCGGUCGAGGACUUAAUCAG